AUAGCGUAUAUUAAAGUUGUUGCAGUUAAAAAGCCCGUAGUUGAACUUCAGAUUUGGUCGGGUGGUCCGCUUAACGGCGUGUUACUGCUUGGCUGGGUCUUGUCUCUUGGUGAACCAUUGUGCCCUUUGUUGGUGUGCUUUGGGGAACCAGGACUUUUACCUUGAGAAAAUUAGAGUGUUCAAAGCAGGCCUAUGCCUGAAUACAUUAGCAUGGAAUAAUAGAAUAGGACGUGUGGUUCUAUUUUGUUGGUUUCUAGAAUCGCCGUAAUGAUUAAUAGGGAUAGUUGGGGGCAUUGGUAUUCAGUCGCUAGAGGUGAAAUUCUUGGAUUGACUGAAGACCAACUACUG
This 348-nucleotide ribosomal RNA is filed under the name Ramariopsis kunzei. RNAcentral's name for it is "SSU rRNA". It matches the Rfam family "Eukaryotic small subunit ribosomal RNA", at positions 594 to 945 of the family's 1831-position model. The record is from RNAcentral. Lineage: Eukaryota; Fungi; Basidiomycota; Agaricomycetes; Agaricales; Clavariaceae.